AUUGAACGCUAGCGGGAUGCUUUACACAUGCAAGUCGAACGGAGUGGCGGACGGGUGAGUAAUAUAUCGAAACGUGCCCAGUCGCGGGGGAUAACUACUCGAAAGAAUGGCUAAUAACGCAUAAUCUUAGAACGGCCGAUAUCGGAUUAGAUAGUUGGUGUGGUAAAGUCUCAACAAGGCCACGAUCCGUAGCUGGUUUGAGAGGACGAACAGCCACACUGGGAAUGAGACACGGCCCAGACUCCUACGGGUGGAAGCAGGGGGGAAUUUUGGACAAUGGGGGAAACCCUGCUCCAGCCAUCCCGCGUGUAGGAUGAAGGCCGUCGGGUUGUAAAGUACUUUUGGCAGAGAAGCGGUAUCUGCAGAAUAAGCACCGGCUAACUACGUGCCAGCAGCCGCGGUAAUAC
Molecule: ribosomal RNA, 407 nt
Filed under: uncultured bacterium
Lineage: Bacteria
Description: partial 16S ribosomal RNA
Rfam family: Bacterial small subunit ribosomal RNA
Source: RNAcentral